This 72-nucleotide transfer RNA is filed under the name Ovis aries (sheep). It matches the Rfam family "tRNA". Rfam says of the family: Transfer RNA (tRNA) molecules are approximately 80 nucleotides in length. The record is from Rfam by way of RNAcentral. Lineage: Eukaryota; Metazoa; Chordata; Mammalia; Artiodactyla; Bovidae.
UCCCCAGUGGCUCAGAUGGUAAAGCGUCUGCCUGCAAUGCGGGAGACCCAGGUUCGAUCCCUGGGUUGGGAA